ACCCUUUAAUGUUUGAUGUUCUAACGUGGACCCGUAAUCCGGGUUGCGGACAGUGUCUGGUGGGUAGUUUGACUGGGGCGGUCUCCUCCUAAAGAGUAACGGAGGAGCACGAAGGUUGGCUAAUCCUGGUCGGACAUCAGGAGGUUAGUGCAAUGGCAUAAGCCAGCUUGACUGCGAGCGUGACGGCGCGAGCAGGUGCGAAAGCAGGUCAUAGUGAUCCGGUGGUUCUGAAUGGAAGGGCCAUCGCUCAACGGAUAAAAGGUACUCCGGGGAUAACAGGCUGAUACCGCCCAAGAGUUCAUAUCGACGGCGGUGUUUGGCACCUCGAUGUCGGCUCAUCACAUCCUGGGGCUGAAGUAGGUCCCAAGGGUAUGGCUGUUCGCCAUUUAAAGUGGUACGCGAGCUGGGUUUAGAACGUCGUGAGACAGUUCGGUCCCUAUCUGCCGUGGGCGCUGGAGAACUGAGGGGGGCUGCUCCUAGUACGAGAGGACCGGAGUGGACGCAUCACUGGUGUUCGGGUUGUCAUGCCAAUGGCACUGCCCGGUAGCUAAAUGCGGAAGAGAUAAGUGCUGAAAGCAUCUAAGCACGAAACUUGCCCCGAGAUGAGUUCUCCCUGAGACUUAGAGUCUCCUGAAGGAACGUUGAAGACGACGACGUUGAUAGGCCGGGUGUGUAAGCGCAGCGAUGCGUUGAGCUAACCGGUACUAAUGAACCGUGAGGCUUAACCUU
Molecule: ribosomal RNA, 729 nt
Filed under: Salmonella enterica subsp. enterica serovar Potsdam
Lineage: Bacteria; Pseudomonadati; Pseudomonadota; Gammaproteobacteria; Enterobacterales; Enterobacteriaceae
Also listed under: 12 other names
Description: partial 23S ribosomal RNA
Rfam family: Bacterial large subunit ribosomal RNA
Source: RNAcentral